RNAcentral lists this transfer RNA (69 nucleotides) under Urocitellus parryii (Arctic ground squirrel). RNAcentral describes it as "Spermophilus parryii (Arctic ground squirrel) tRNA". It matches the Rfam family "tRNA". From Rfam's summary of the family: Transfer RNA (tRNA) molecules are approximately 80 nucleotides in length. Their secondary structure includes four short double-helical elements and three loops (D, anti-codon, and T loops). The record is from Rfam by way of RNAcentral. Lineage: Eukaryota; Metazoa; Chordata; Mammalia; Rodentia; Sciuridae. RNAcentral also lists the same sequence under 2 other names.
GGGGUUGUGGCUCAGUAGUAGAGCGCUCGCCUCACACGUGCAAGAUCCUGGGUUCAAUUCUCAGCACCA